This is a non-coding RNA of Triticum aestivum (bread wheat), 125 nucleotides long. Lineage: Eukaryota; Viridiplantae; Streptophyta; Magnoliopsida; Poales; Poaceae. The record is from Rfam.
GUAGUACUCCCUCCGUCCGGAAAUACUUGUCGGAGGAAUGGAUGUAUCUAGACAUAUUUUAGUUCUAGAUACAUCCAUUUUUAUGCAUUUCUCCGGCAAGUAUUUCCGGACGGAGGGAGUAGAUA